RNAcentral lists this ribosomal RNA (465 nucleotides) under uncultured bacterium. Its description in RNAcentral is "partial 16S ribosomal RNA". It matches the Rfam family "Bacterial small subunit ribosomal RNA", at positions 338 to 795 of the family's 1533-position model. The record is from RNAcentral.
CCUACGGGGUGCAGCAGUGGGGAAUAUUGCGCAAUGGGCGAAAGCCUGACGCAGCGACGCCGCGUGAGGGAUGAAGGUCUUCGGAUCGUAAACCUCUGUCAGCAGGGAAGAACGGUCACUGUGCUAAUCAGCAGUGAAUUGACGGUACCUGCAAGGGAAGCACCGGCUAACUCCGUGCCAGCAGCCGCGGUAAUACGGAGGGUGCGAGCGUUAAUCGGAAUUACUGGGCGUAAAGGGCUCGUAGGCGGUAUGUCAAGUCAAGGGUGAAAUCCCCGCGCUCAACGUGGGAACUGCCUUUGAAACUGGCAGACUGGAGUGUGUGAGAGGAUAGUGGAAUGCCAGGUGUAGGAGUGAAAUCCGUAGAUAUCGGGAGGAACAUCAGUGGCGAAGGCGACUAUCUGGCACAUAACUGACGCUGAGGAGCGAAAGCGUGGGUAGCAAACAGGAUUAGAUACCCUAGUAGUC